This 505-nucleotide ribosomal RNA is filed under the name uncultured bacterium. Its description in RNAcentral is "partial 16S ribosomal RNA". It matches the Rfam family "Bacterial small subunit ribosomal RNA", at positions 28 to 507 of the family's 1533-position model. The record is from RNAcentral.
GACGAACGCUGGCGGCGUGCCUAAUACAUGCAAGUAGAACGCACAGUUUAUACCGUAGCUUGCUACACCAUAAACUGUGAGUUGCGAACGGGUGAGUAACGCGUAGGUAACCUGCCUGGUAGCGGGGGAUAACUAUUGGUAACGAUAGCUAAUACCGCAUAAUAUUAAUUAUUGCAUGAUAAUUGAUUGAAAGAUGCAAUUGCAUCACUACCAGAUGGACCUGCGUUGUAUUAGCUAGUAGGUGAGGUAACGGCUCACCUAGGCGAGGAUACAUAGCCGACCUGAGAGGGUGAGCGGCCCCACUGGGACUGAGACACGGCCCAGACUCCUACGGGAGGGAGCAGUAGGGAAUCUGCGGCAAUGGGCGAAAGUCUGACCGAGCAACGCCGCGUGAGUGAAGAAGGUCUUCGGAUCGUAAAGCUCUGUUGUAAGAGAAGAACGGGUGUGAGAGUGGAAAGUACACACUGUGACGGUAUCUUACCAGAAAGGGACGGCUAACUACGUG